CGGUGAAGCGCUUGCCUUUUUGGUGGGUGUGGAUGAGUGGCGAACGGGUGAGUAACACGUGAGUAACCUGCCCUCUUCUUCUGGAUAACCUCAUGAAAGUGGGGCUAAUACGGGGUAUUCCGGGUCUGUCGCAUGGCGGGUUUGGGAAAGAUUGCGCCUUUGGGUGUUUUCGGUGGGGGAUGGGCUCGCGGCCUAUCAGCUUGUUGGUGGGGUGAUGGCCUACCAAGGCGGUGACGGGUAGCCGGCCUGAGAGGGUGGACGGCCACACUGGGACUGAGACACGGCCCAGACUCCUGCGGGAGGCAGCAGUGGGGAAUAUUGCACAAUGGGCGCAAGCCUGAUGCAGCGACGCCGCGUGAGGGAUGGAGGCCUUCGGGUUGUGAACCUCUUUCGCCAGUGAAGCAGGCCUGCUCCUGUGUGGGUGGGUUGACGGUAGCUGGAUAAGAAGCGCCGGCUAACUACGUGCCAGCAGCCGCGGUAAUACGUAGGGCGCGAGCGUUGUCCGGAAUUAUUGGGCGUAAAGAGCUCGUAGGCGGCUGGUCGCGUCUGUCGUGAAAUCCUCUGGCUUAACUGGGGGCUUGCGGUGGGUACGGGCCGGCUUGAGUGCGGUAGGGGAGGCUGGAACUCCUGGUGUAGCGGUGGAAUGCGCAGAUAUCAGGAAGAACACCGGUGGCGAAGGCGGGUCUCUGGGCCGUUACUGACGCUGAGGAGCGAAAGCGUGGGGAGCGAACAGGAUUAGAUACCCUGGUAGUCCACGCCGUAAACGUUGGGCACUAGGUGUGGGGGGCCUUUUCCGGGUUCUUCCGCGCCGUAGCUAACGCAUUAAGUGCCCCGCCUGGGGAGUACGGCCGCAAGGCUAA
This 860-nucleotide ribosomal RNA is filed under the name Actinomyces naeslundii. RNAcentral's name for it is "bacterial SSU rRNA". It matches the Rfam family "Bacterial small subunit ribosomal RNA", at positions 67 to 897 of the family's 1533-position model. The record is from RNAcentral. Lineage: Bacteria; Bacillati; Actinomycetota; Actinomycetes; Actinomycetales; Actinomycetaceae.